UAGAUAGCUAAAAUGAUUAGGUAUAUACAUAUAUAAAUAUAUCACCUGUUGUCAAUACGAACAUAGGGCCUAUAGUUGGGUGGCGCUACGAAAAAAAAGAAAAGAAACUCUAUCGAAAUAAGCUCGUUCUUGGAUUCGAACGGCUUCGUGUAAAUAAGAAAAUUAAUAACGAUAUUAAAAUAAUAAACGAGCAGAUGGCGCGAAAGAAUUCUUGAGAGAGGAAUAAUAAACCGCUCGGUUUUUAAUCGUAUCGCUCGUUAUUGAAUUAAGUUCGUUUCUUUCUUCGAAAAUAACUUUUCUCCGUUCGUUUGCAACGUCUGUAGCUCAUCGAACGAGGAUUUGGAUUUAAUUUCGAAUUUCUCUCCUCGGCGAUGAUCUAUGGCCUCGAGUUUAAAAAAAAAAAAAAAAAAGAAGAAGAAACUUUAAAUUAAAUUAGAAAAAAGAAAGACAAACGCAUCGUUGACUCGCGUUACGAUAAUAGACGGCGAGAAUAAAUAGCAUUGAUUACGAAAACGAAACAGGGUAGCCUAUCAAUUAUUAAAACGAUUCCGAAAGAGAAGGCUGCACACUAUGGAUUGGCCCCAUAUAUUCGCGUGGUGCGUCGGUGAUCAAUUGAGUUUGAAAAGGAAAAAGAAGAGGAGGAAAAAGUAGUAGCUCGAGCAAACGUGUCGGUGCGACGAUGAUGGGAACUCGUAUGAACGAUGACGUCGUCGCGUGUUCAUCAAUUAGGAGAACGAAAUAUACAUUUGUAUGUAUCGAGAAGAUAUCUUUAUAUUGAGACGUAUGUAACAUAAUUUCUGUACAUAACUGGAAUUAUUGCUCACCGUAUCUCGUAAGAUUUAGUUAGUUUUGUAACUAAGUGAAAAGAAAGAAAAAAAAAAAUGAAUAAUGAACUAUGUGCAUAUCUGAUUAAUUGCGCGGACAUUUUCGCGACGGACAGUUCCCCUCGAAAGUUCUCGACCCUGUCGUCGUAGAUCGAAAAAAAGAAAAAAAGAAAAAGAAGAAGAAGAAGAAGAAAAUAAAAAUAACAAUAAAAAUAAAAAUCAGUAUUCGUAAUAAUAAUAAUAAUAAUAAUAAUAAUGAUAAUACUAAUAAUAAUACUAAUAAUAAUAAUAAUAAUAAUAAACACUUCCUUCCUAUCGAGAACUCGUUCUCACAUUCCACGAUCGGUCUUGAUCGUGCGCGUAGUCCGUCGUCAAGAAAACGAUCAGUUCCUCUCGGUUCGCGCUCGAAUCGUUUCGUCGAGGGGAACGCGAUCAAGUCGAAUACGAGAUUAUACAGUGUAGUAUUAUCGUACUCUUUAAGCAUUUUUCCUCUCGCGAUUCGACGAUUUCCGUUCUUCUCGCCGCGAUAUCGACCAACUUCGUCGACGGAGUCUCCCAUUUCCGGGCCAUGGAACUGUCCACCGGAAGUCCAGCUUUAUUGUACAUCAAUCACUCUGUACAAUGUUCAUCCUGAUGUUACUGUUAACUAUUUAAAAAAGGAGAGAGAGAAGAAAAAAAAAAAUAAAAGAGUGGAAGCAUGCGAGAGAGUGAGCGUGAGAACGAGAGAGAGAGAGAGAGAGAGAGAGGAGGAGGAGAGAGAGAGAGAGAAAGAGAGAAAAUUUCGAAACUUUCACAUUCAAAGCGCGCAAACUAAAUCCUGUGCGCAUGCGCGCGUGCCAGACGCGAUUCCAGGGCACACGCGCUUGCGCACACGAUCGCACACGUCACACGUGUAAAAUGUAUAAAUGCUUGGUGAAAUUCCGAUUAUUGUACAGAUUUAAUAACGGGGAGAAGGAAAAGAAACAAAAGACAUAGAAGACGUAAAGGAGAACGCCACGAGUGGUAUCGAAUGUUUAGAUGAUGGCGACGAUGCCAUGCCGAAAAAAAAAGAAAAAAAAUAAGAGAAAGAGAGAGAGAGAGAGAGAGAGAGAGAGAGAGAGAGAUAUCUAUACAUACAGACACAGACGAUUUCUAUUAAUAAAGAGAUGUAGGUUAACGAAGUAUACUGCGGGAAGUAAUUACAAUCAAUGUACUGGAUGGUCCAUGGCGAUGUUAAAAUUAGAAAAGUUUAUGUCGUUUGAACCUUAGAAGUUUGCGCCUUCUUGCGCCGCAGGGCCAUCCUAUACGUAUUAAUUGGUUAUCUGUCAAUUAUUAAUUAAAUUAUAUCGAUUUCUUCGCCUUUAGUCAAGGAAAGAAACGAGAAUGGUCGCGAAACUUCCUCAUCGCACGUCGAUGUUCAAUUAACGCGCGCAAUAUAUAUACACUCUAUAUAUAUAUAUACACACACUCUUCUCGCGAAUCUUCCUUCCAUCCCCUACUCCGGUCUAAGGAGGAAGUUGGCGAAGAAGUUGUGCGAUCGACGACUUCGAAUAGUUUAUUUUUCUAUAGUGCAAUCAUUUCGUUUUCGUGCAAUUCCCGACCCCCUUGUUGUUUUUUCAUUGAAAAGUUUAUAUUCUCGCGCGCGCCCCUUCCUUCGAGAAAAGGAAACCUCGAAACCGCGCGUGUCUCGACGCUGCGUUUCGAUGGGGAAAUUUCGCCCGCCGGCUCUGUCGACGCUGUGUGUUACAUAAAGCGCGACGAUUGUUAGGCAAAUUCAUUUUACGAAUCAUCCUGUGACGGAAAAACGCUUACGCGUUUUUCUCUGAAUGCGCGCGUUUAGAAAACGAGAAUGAGAAAAAGAAGGGACGAGAGGGAAAAUCGAGAGGACAAUGUUGCCUAAAAUCGGGUGGGCGAGGGAAGUUUUUUCAAAUUUGUUGAUACAUUUCAUACUUUACGAUUAGGGAUUAUGGCCUAUUACUAACUAUUUCGCAAACCUUAUCCGACGAUUCGAUCGUUUUUUUCCUUUUUUUUUUUUUUUUUUUUUCUUAUUAUUGCACGCCACACGUUAUGCAACAAUCACGGUGCUUAAAUCGAGAGAUAUCCCAUUUCGCAAAAUGAAAGGUGUAACAAAGCAAAAAAUAGAAGAGAGAGAGAGAGAGAGAGAGAAAGAAACGUCCCGAUUGAAUGAGAUGUGCCAUACUAUUCAUCGUAUAAAUAACGCUCUUACGCCCUCGAAUCGAAAGGUGUGAGAACCCGUCGAGAACGAAUCGAAAAAUAGGACAAAAAAGUUAUCGAUCUUCGAACGAGAAAUAUGAAUCGCCGUGCGUGAAGCCUGAUAACGGGGGGAGUGUAUUUUAAAAAAAAAAAAAAACGAUCGAAUCGUCUGCUCGCGCAUUUGUGAAAUGGAAAGUGACUUUUUAGAAAAUGAACACUUUUUCGCGUGCUAUCCAUGAAAAAGCUACGUUAAACACGUCGCAUCGAUUACUGUGAGUAUAGAUGGAGGGGAAAGAAGAAGAAAAAGAAAAAAAAAAAAAGAAAAGGAAAAAAAAAAAUAACGCUAUUUCGAAUUCGACUGAGCAACAUAUAGGAGAUACGAUUUAUAUAUACCCCCAUAUUUUUCUCGAUGUUAAAGCUUUUUUCUCAGAACGCGUUACGCGGCGUGUAAUAAUAACCUGCGAAAAAGGAUUCAAGCGGAAUCGUUGCGAAUUUUUCGAAUUAUCGGCGUAUCGUUUGUAUAAUAUAGCGGGGAGGAUCCGAUCGACCGCGAUCGUUAUCACACGAGUAUCGCAAGGGCGGUGGAGAAAUGAAAAGAAAAAAAAAAAAAUGGUGAAGAGGAAAAAGGAUGAUCGUUCUGAAGCGAUGCGAACACUUCUGAUUCAGACCGAUCAUCCCGUUCGAUCAUUUUUUAAUCAUCACUUUGAAUUUCCACGAAACGAGUAUCUACUUCCUUUUUUUUUUCUUUUUUUUUUUUUUUUUUUUUGUUUUUAUUUUCUUAACGUUAAUGUGUUAACAAAGGGAAGAGAAUCGAUGAGUUACGAGUCUGGGGGAAAAAAAAAUCUGUUACGUUUUUUACAGAAGAGAGA
Molecule: long non-coding RNA, 3886 nt
Organism: Apis florea (little honeybee)
Lineage: Eukaryota; Metazoa; Arthropoda; Insecta; Hymenoptera; Apidae
Source: RefSeq, a predicted model, not a curated record